This 242-nucleotide unclassified non-coding RNA is filed under the name plant metagenome. Its description in RNAcentral is "partial contains small subunit ribosomal RNA, internal transcribed spacer 1, and 5.8S ribosomal RNA". The stretch from base 1 to 54 matches the Rfam family "Eukaryotic small subunit ribosomal RNA", at positions 1778 to 1831 of the family's 1831-position model. The record is from RNAcentral.
GGAAGUAAAAGUAGUAACAAGGUUUCCGUAGGUGAACCUGCGGAAGGAUCAUUACAGAGUUCAUGCCCUCACGGGUAGAUCUCCCACCCUUGAAUAUUUAUACCUUAGUUGCUUUGGCAGGCCGUGGAAACACCAUGGGCUCCGGCUUAUGCGUGCCUGCCAGAGGAAACAAACUCUGUUUUUAGUGAUGUCUGAGUACUAUAUAAUAGUUAAAACUUUCAACAACGGAUCUCUUGGUUCUG